This 253-nucleotide ribosomal RNA is filed under the name uncultured bacterium. RNAcentral describes it as "partial 16S ribosomal RNA". It matches the Rfam family "Bacterial small subunit ribosomal RNA", at positions 524 to 776 of the family's 1533-position model. The record is from RNAcentral.
UACGUAGGGGGCAAGCGUUGUCCGGAAUUAUUGGGCGUAAAGAGCGUGUAGGCGGCCAGGUAGGUCGGUUGUGAAAACUGGAGGCUCAACCUUCAGAGGUCGACCGAAACCAUCUGGCUAGAGUCCGGGAGAGGAGAGUGGAAUUCCUGGUGUAGCGGUGAAAUGCGCAGAUAUCAGGAAGAACACCCGUGGCGAAAGCGGCUCUCUGGAACGGUACUGACGCUGAGACGCGAAAGCGUGGGGAGCGAACAGG